Oncorhynchus kisutch (coho salmon) is the source of this 613-nucleotide long non-coding RNA. RefSeq lists it as uncharacterized. NCBI's taxonomy places the organism in Eukaryota, Metazoa, Chordata, Actinopteri, Salmoniformes, Salmonidae. The transcript has 3 exons. The record is from RefSeq and is a predicted model, not a curated record.
AGCAAGGGGUAGUUUGUGUUAAAUGUCAUUGUGUAUUAGAAACAGUUUGAGAAUAUUGUGAGGUGAUUUCUUGAAUGGGGAAUUGAGCUUCCCGGGAAAAUGUCAGAGGUUGCGACAUUAACCAAGAAGAUGGGGUGCAUAUGAGAUGUCAUUACCUGUGCCAAGAAGCGGUAGACAAACACAGCCUUCAGCUGGCCAAAACGGUACACCCUGAAGAUGCUCUGGAUGUCGUAGGAGGGGUUCCACGAAGCGUCAAAAAUUAUGACCCUGUUAGCUGCUACCAGGUUGAUCCCAAGGGACCCAGCUCUUGUUGAGAUGAGAAACAGACGACCUCUGAAAGUAAAUUGUGUCUUCCCUAGGCCCAUGCAGUGGGCCAGUAAGCAACCUGAUCCAGGGGUUGAAUUGGCCUUCUUCACUGACUCACAACAACAGUCCCAGAUAAACUGCACACCUAUCAAAAGGAAGAAGUACAGCAAAUUGAAGGGGACACUGCUGUAUUUGCCACUAUGUUAAUUAUUGUAUGUAUUGGACUUGUACAACUGAAAUAAAAAACAAGACUUACCAUCCACCUGGUGAGGCUUGAGCCUGGUCACCAGGUUCCUGUGCACCUGAA